This 48-nucleotide transfer RNA is filed under the name Metacrangonyx goulmimensis. Its description in RNAcentral is "transfer RNA Serine". The record is from RNAcentral. Lineage: Eukaryota; Metazoa; Arthropoda; Malacostraca; Amphipoda; Metacrangonyctidae.
AGAUAUUAAAAGAACUUCUAAUUCUUAAAAAGCUAUAAGCUAUAUCUA